RNAcentral lists this ribosomal RNA (502 nucleotides) under uncultured bacterium. RNAcentral describes it as "partial 16S ribosomal RNA". It matches the Rfam family "Bacterial small subunit ribosomal RNA", at positions 28 to 507 of the family's 1533-position model. The record is from RNAcentral.
GACGAACGCUGGCGGCGUGCCUAAUACAUGCAAGUCGAACGAACCGCGACUAGGUGCUUGCACUUGGUCAAGGUGAGUGGCGAACGGGUGAGUAACACGGGGGUAACCUACCUCAUAGUGGGGGAUAACAGUCGGAAACGACUGCUAAUACCGCAUAGGAAAUAGGAUCAAUUGAUCCAGUGAGGAAAGGUGGCGCAAGCUAUCGCUAAGGAGUGGACCCGCGGUGCAUUAGCUAGUUGGUAGGGUAAAGGCCUACCAAGGCGAUGAUGCAAAGCCGACCUGAGAGGGUGAUCGGCCACAUUGGGACUGAGACACGGCCCAAACUCCUACGGGAGGCAGCAGUAGGGAAUCUUCCGCAAUGGACGCAAGUCUGACGGAGCAACGCCGCGUGAGUGAAGAAGGUCUUCGGAUCGUAAAGCUCUGUUGUUAGAGAAGAACAGCGCAUAGAGUAACUGUUAUGCGUGUGACGGUAUCUAACCAGAAAGCCACGGCUAACUACGUG